This 215-nucleotide non-coding RNA is filed under the name Limosilactobacillus gastricus. Its description in RNAcentral is "Lactobacillus gastricus T-box sequence". It matches the Rfam family "T-box leader". Rfam says of the family: Uncharged tRNA acts as the effector for transcription antitermination of genes in the T-box leader family. T-boxes are found upstream of many aminoacyl-tRNA synthetase genes and some amino acid biosynthetic genes usually in Gram-positive bacteria. The anticodon of a specific tRNA base pairs to a specifier sequence within the T-box motif, and the NCCA acceptor tail of the tRNA base pairs to a conserved bulge in the T-box antiterminator hairpin. Lineage: Bacteria; Bacillati; Bacillota; Bacilli; Lactobacillales; Lactobacillaceae. The record is from RNAcentral.
UUUAAAGUAAUGAGGAACCCUGCAGUUCGAAUGCUUUUUUUCAGAGAGCUAGUGACCGGUGUGAUACUAGUAAAAAGCAUGAAUUAGCAAAUCAGUUCCGAACGUUAAACCGAAGCUAGUAAGUUUAACCGGUUCAUCACCGUUAACAAAUGGAGAGCGAUUCAAGCAAUUGAGUCGGAAUUUGGGUGGUACCGCGAGCACAUUUCGUCCCUUGA